UAUAAAUAUGAUGUGAUUAUGGCUAGUAAUUAUUAAUGUUUAAAAAUCACCUUUUUAAAUUCUAGCUAUUUGGGGUCAUAAAGUGCUAAUGGAUAUUCCACUUACACAUAUUUUAGAAGUGCUUAAUUCUAUAAUCAUUUAUGUAGGCACAUAGUAGUCAGUGCCUAAAAGUAAGAGCAACUGGGGACACUAGUCCUUAGAGUCCCUACAAGCCAGCUGUGCCCAGCUUCAAAUUAGCAGUUCUGUCUUGCUAUCUCUCCAGCACGGACUGUUCGCCUCUCAGCCUCCAGCCUAUCUUUAAUCUCAUUUAGCUCUGCUAGAAAGAAAUUCUCACAGUUAGACACAAUCUGCUUUAAUUUAAAUCUUGGGAGGUUUAAUAUCAGAAGACCAGUUGGCUCAUACAUAUACUCAAAGAUCUUAUAUAUAAGAUUCGCAUAGGAUCUCUUGA
RNAcentral lists this long non-coding RNA (448 nucleotides) under Bos taurus (domestic cattle). Its description in RNAcentral is "long non-coding RNA NONBTAT016575". The record is from RNAcentral. Lineage: Eukaryota; Metazoa; Chordata; Mammalia; Artiodactyla; Bovidae.